CCUACGGUGGGCAGCAGUGAGGAAUAUUGGUCAAUGGGCGAGAGCCUGAACCAGCCAAGUCGCGUGAGGGAGUACUGCCCUAUGGGUUGUAAACCUCUUUUGUCGGGGAGCAAAAGCCGGACGUGUCCGGCUGUGAGAGGACCCGAAGAAAAAGCAUCGGCUAACUCCGUGCCAGGAGCCGCGGGAAUACGGGGGAUGCGAGCGUUAUCCGGAUUUAUUGGGUUUAAAGGGAGCGUAGGUGGAUUGUUAAGUCAGUUGUGAAAGUUUGCGGCUCAACCGUAAAAUUGCAGUUGAAACUGGCAGUCUUGAGUACAGUAGAGGUGGGCGGAAUUCGUGGUGUAGCGGUGAAAUGCUUAGAUAUCACGAAGAACUCCGAUUGCGAAGGCAGCUCACUGGACUGCAACUGACACUGAGGCUCGAAAGUGUGGGUAUCAAACAGGAUUAGAUACCCUUGUAGUC
This 459-nucleotide ribosomal RNA is filed under the name uncultured bacterium. RNAcentral's name for it is "partial 16S ribosomal RNA". It matches the Rfam family "Bacterial small subunit ribosomal RNA", at positions 338 to 795 of the family's 1533-position model. The record is from RNAcentral.